GACGAACGCUGGCGGCGUGCUUAACACAUGCAAGUCGAACGGAAAGGCCCUGCUUUUGUGGGGUGCUCGAGUGGCGAACGGGUGAGUAACACGUGAGUAACCUGCCCUUGACUUUGGGAUAACUUCAGGAAACUGGGGCUAAUACCGGAUAGGAGCUCCUGCUGGAUGGUGGGGGGUGAAAGUUUCGGCGGUUGGGGAUGGACUCGCGGCUUAUCAGCUUGUUGGUGGGGUAGUGGCUUACCAAGGCUUUGACGGGUAGCCGGCCUGAGAGGGUGACCGGCCACAUUGGGACUGAGAUACGGCCCAGACUCCUACGGGAGGCAGCAGUGGGGAAUAUUGCACAAUGGGCGGAAGCCUGAUGCAGCAACGCCGCGUGCGGGAUGACGGCCUUCGGGUUGUAAACCGCUUUCGCCUGUGACGAAGCGUGAGUGACGGUAAUGGGUAAAGAAGCACCGGCUAACUACGUG
Molecule: ribosomal RNA, 467 nt
Filed under: uncultured bacterium
Lineage: Bacteria
Description: partial 16S ribosomal RNA
Rfam family: Bacterial small subunit ribosomal RNA
Source: RNAcentral